RNAcentral lists this ribosomal RNA (1757 nucleotides) under Nicotiana glauca (tree tobacco). RNAcentral's name for it is "SSU rRNA". It matches the Rfam family "Eukaryotic small subunit ribosomal RNA". Lineage: Eukaryota; Viridiplantae; Streptophyta; Magnoliopsida; Solanales; Solanaceae. The record is from RNAcentral.
AUUUUUGUACACGAAUGUACUUCGGAGUUUGAGUUUUUUUUUAUGCUCGAGUUAAAUACAAAGUUGGAAAAAGAGUUUCCUGUAAUCUUAUGUCUUUUGUUCAGGUUUUUAUUCUAUCCCUUCACUUAUUUUUUUGUUGCCUAAGUUCAUUCUAAGUUUACUAUGUUGAACGCUGCCAAAAUAAUUCUAAGUCCAAAGUUGCUGAAAUUUUGGCCGAGUGUUGGAGCAGGCUGAAGUCAAGUCGGUGCUUGGCUGCCGCGCGAGCUAUUUUUGUGAGACAUAAAAUGCGCCUGUGACACCUACCAUGGUGGUGAUCGGUGAUGGAGAAUUAGGGUUCGAUUCCGGAGAGGGAUCAUGAGAAACAGCUACCACAUCCAAGGAGGGCAGCAGGCACGCAAAUUACCCAAUCCUGACAUGGGGAGGCAGUGACAAUAAAUAACAAUACUGGGCUCUAUGAGUCUGGUAAUUGGAAUGAGUACAAUCUAAAUCCCUUAACAAGAAUCCAUUGGAGGGCAAGUCUGCUACCAGCAGCCGCGGUAAUUCGAGCUCCAAUAGCAUAUAUUUAAAUUAUUGCAGUUAAAAAGCUCGUCGUUGGACUUUGGGAUGGGCCGGCCGGUCCACCUUAGGUGUGCACCGGUCGUCUCGUCCCUUCUGCCGGUGAUGCUCUCCUGGCCUUAAUUGGCCGGGUUGUGCCUCCAGCGCUGUUACUUUGAAGAAAUUAGAGUAUUCAAAGCAAUCCUAUGCUCUAUAUACAUUAGCAUCAGAUAUCAUUAUAGGAUUUCGGUCCUAUUACGUUGGCCUUCGGGAUCGGAGUAAUGAUUAACAGGGACAGUCGGGGGCAUUCGUAUUUCAUAGUCAGAGGUGAAAUUCAUGGAUUUAUGAAAGACGAACAACUACAAAAGCAUUAGCCAAGGAUGUUUUCAUUAAUCAAGAACGAAAGUUGGGGGCUCGAAGAUGAUCAGAUAUCAUCCUAGUCUCAACCAUAAAUGAUGUCGACCAGGGAUUGGCGGAUGUUGCUUUUAGGACUCCGCCGACACCUUAUGAGAAAUCAAAGUUUUUGUGUUUCGGGGGGAGUAUGGUCGCAGGGCUGAAACUUAAAGGAAUUGACGGAAGGGCACCACCAGGAGUGGAGCCUGCGGCUUAAUCUGACUCAACACGGUGAAACUUACCAGGUCCAAACAUAGUAAGGAUUGACAGACUGAGAGCUCUUUCUUGAUUCUAUGGGUGGUGGUGCAUGGUCGUUAUUAGUUGGUGGAGUGAUUUGUCUAGUUAAUUCUGUUAACGAACGAGACCUCAUCCUGCUAACUAGCUAUGCAGAGGUAUCCCUUCGCGGCCAGCUUCUUAGAGGGACUACGGCCUUUUAGGCUGCAAAAGUUUGAGGCAAUAAAAGGUCUGUGAUGACCUUAGAUGUUCUGAGCCACACGCGUGCUACACUGAUGUAUUCAACGAGUUUAUAGCCUUGGCUUAUAGGCCCGAGUAAUCUUUGAAAUUUCAUCGUGAUGGGGAUAGAUCAUUGCAAUUGUUGGUCUUCAACGAGGAAUUCCUAGUAAGCACGAGUCAUCAGCUCGCGUUGACUAUGUCCCUGCCCUUUGUACACACCGCCCGUCGCUCCUACCGAUUGAAUGAUCCAGUGAAAUGUUCGGAUAGUGGAGACGUGGGCGGUUCGCUGCCCGCGGCGUCGUCAGAAGUCCAUUGAACCUUAUCAUUUAGAGGAAGGUGAAGUCGUAACAAGGUUUCCGUAGGUGAACCUGCAGAAG